RNAcentral lists this small nuclear RNA (104 nucleotides) under Sus scrofa (pig). Lineage: Eukaryota; Metazoa; Chordata; Mammalia; Artiodactyla; Suidae. The record is from RNAcentral. RNAcentral also lists the same sequence under 1 other name.
GUGCUUGCUUUGGCAGCAUAUACACUAAAACUGGAAAAAUACAGAGAUUAGCAUGGCCCUUGUGCAAGGAUGACACACAAACUCAUGAAGCAAUUCAUAAUUUU